Molecule: ribosomal RNA, 472 nt
Filed under: uncultured Anaplasma sp.
Lineage: Bacteria; Pseudomonadati; Pseudomonadota; Alphaproteobacteria; Rickettsiales; Anaplasmataceae
Description: bacterial SSU rRNA
Rfam family: Bacterial small subunit ribosomal RNA
Source: RNAcentral
UAGUGGCAGACGGGUGAGUAAUGCAUAGGAAUCUGCCCAGUAGUAUGGGAUAGCCACUAGAAAUGGUGGGUAAUACUGUAUACGCCCUGCGGGGGAAAGAUUUAUCGCUACUGGAUGAGCCUAUGUUAGAUUAGCUAGUUGGUAGGGUAAAGGCCUACCAAGGCAGUGAUCUAUAGCUGGUCUGAGAGGAUGAUCAGCCACACUGGAACUGAGAUACGGUCCAGACUCCUACGGGAGGCAGCAGUGGGGAAUAUUGGACAAUGGGCGCAAGCCUGAUCCAGCUAUGCCGCGUGAGUGAGGAAGGCCUUAGGGUUGUAAAACUCUUUCAGCGGGGAAGAUAAUGACGGUACCCGCAGAAGAAGUCCCGGCAAACUCCGUGCCAGCAGCCGCGGUAAUACGGAGGGGGCAAGCGUUGUUCGGAAUUAUUGGGCGUAAAGGGCAUGUAGGCGGUUUGGUGAGUUAAAGGUGAAAU